RNAcentral lists this ribosomal RNA (387 nucleotides) under uncultured bacterium. RNAcentral describes it as "bacterial SSU rRNA". It matches the Rfam family "Bacterial small subunit ribosomal RNA", at positions 28 to 416 of the family's 1533-position model. The record is from RNAcentral.
GAUGAACGCUAGCGGCAGGCCUAAUACAUGCAAGCCGGACGGCAAGUUGAGUAGCAAUACUUGACCUAGAGUGGCGUAAGGGUGCGUAACACGUAUGCAAUCUGCCCACAGCCGGGAGAUAGCCCUCCGAAAGGAGGAUUAAUAUCCCAUAGGAAGAUGAGAUGGCAUCAUUUUAUUUUUAAACUACGGGGCUGUGGAUGAGCAUGCGGUUGAUUAGCUAGUUGGCGGGUAAAGGCCCACCAAGGCGAUGAUCAAUAGGGGACCUGAGAGGUGAUCCCCCACACUGGCACUGAGAUACGGGCCAGACUCCUACGGGAGGCAGCAGUAGGGAAUAUUGGACAAUGGGUGUAAGCCUGAUCCAGCCAUGCCGCGUGCAGGAAGAAGGCC